UCAGGCUCAUUAACCCCUGAGCCACGAAGGGAAUUCCAGUAACUCUAAUUCUAAAUAAACAAAUAAUGUGGCUAACCCAUUCAGAGCUAGACCUUUGAUUGGCAUUACUGGAUUUAAAUCCAUACUAAUUAUAGGACAUAGGGUCUAUCAUUGUCUAUAUAUUGAAAAUAAAAAGAGAUGCAAAGAGGUUAAGUCACCUGCCCAAAGUAUGCAGGUGGUAGGCUGGAGGCCGCACCAUUAACCAUGGCAACUGCCUCUUCAAGCAUAAAAGGAAUACGGGGAGAGGGUUCUGGCCAUGGUGGCAGCCUUGCAGUUUCCCAGCUCUCCUGGAAUGCCCUGAACGCCUUGACCAGAGCCUCUCCAAAGCUCAGCCCUUCCAUAGAGGUCAUCCUGACUCUGCCCACCCUGGGACUCGGCAUCAGACAGAAAACCCUCUCGGAUUCAAUCCCAGCAUAACCGCCAUCUCUUAGCCACCUUUCGGAAAGUCACAGGCAAGCUGUCGUUGUUGGCUGCCUGGCCUCCUCUCUCAGCCUCGAUUUCCACCCUCCCUGACCCUCGUGGAGUGGCUAGAGAGGAGAACCCAGUGGUUUCUGUACCCAUCCCUCCUGUCUUCUCCCGCACAUCCUCAACUUUCUUUUCUUUCAGUCACACAGGCAGUGUCCCUGGCCCGCUCUUCUCAGACAACCCUUCAGGUCUCUCAAGAAUGUCCCCGUAUUCCUCUAAAGAGAUGACUCACCAGGAAAUCAGCUGUGGCUUUCACUGAUUCCCAAUGGGAAACAUCCACUGUGGCAGGAAAAAUACCAGGGGAGUGCGAGGACCUUAAAAUCCCAAACGACUCAGUUUGAGACAUAUGCAGUUAUUUUCUGGUGGAUCAAAUGUCCUGAUUAAUAAAUAGCUAUUACCAUAUAGAGACGUUACAUAGGCACUAACAAUUUUCAAAGGAUUAGAACAAAAUCAACUCCUACAAUAAUCCUGAAAAAAGGUCAGUGCCUGGACUGUACCAGUCAUGAAAGAGUUUGGAUAUCAUGUCUGUAUUUGAAGAGGCUUGAGACCAUCAGCAAAACUAGGCCAAGGCAGCUUAUUCAUUGCAUCAGAGCUGUCAGUGAGCUGCUUUAAGCUGCAUUUAACAGUUAACUUGAAACUGGCUGAAAUGAAGAAACGGAAUGAUUAUAACCGGAGGAAGAGAACCUGAAGGAGGAUGGAGGACAGCUGUGUUCAUAAGAGGAGAAAACAUGGCCCAGAAAUCAGCAACAAUUUCCCUCACGUUUAAGGAGGAAUUAAAGGCAGCUCUGAGUGGGGGAAAAAAGCAAGACUCCCGACCGUUGUUUUGAAUAAAAGUUGAUUUCCCCUCGGAUGUCAGUGGUAAUUUUCUCAUCAGUGCAGCCUCAAUAGCAUGUGCCUUUGGCCACACAAAAAGAAUUAUUUCCUCUGGUUUUAAAAGCAUCUUCCUUGAACUGGAAACACAUUUGCACAUGGACAGCCCUGGGCCUGGCGUGAAUGUUGUGUUUCACUCCCCGACCGGGUACUCCGGCUACCCUCUGAGCUCCGUCUGUCCUCAAGAAAUCAUUCUCCUUCUACCAGGAAGAAAACGUCUCCAGUAAGAAGGCGUCAGCAGCUCCAAGUGAGAAGAAGAACACAAAACCUGAUACAAGCAGCUUUGACUCUUCACAUCUCUGAGCCUUACCUUCCUGCACAAUAAAGUGGUGCUAAGCCAGGCAGGGGAGAUGAACAGGUGGAGUGUGACAAGCAUGGCGCCAGGGACUCAGCCAGAGGGCGCUCUCUCCCCAGACUCCUGCACCACCUGCCACUUGUCGGUUCCACUCCCUGCAGGAGGCUCUGGUCCACCAUCAUCUGAUCAUCCCCACAAUUCUCAAUCUAGAUGAGAGCUCAGCCGGGGAGGAUUUACCGUGAAGUCAGGAGGUUGAAACUUUGGGGCUUUUCCUUUUGGGCUCCCAUUGGGGAGAUGGGCGUUUUGCUGAGAACCGUAGCAUGUUCUGUGUGCAGAAGGGAAGAGAGGUUAUAAGCAAAAGGAUUUCCGCAUAAGCAUCCAUGGAAAAUUGCCUGAAAAGAUCUCCGAGGAAAGAAGCAUGAUCUCCAAGACUCUAGUAAUCUGCCAUGAUUUCUUUUCACAUUCCAAACAAAUAUUUACCUUCAUAUCUAAUUGCAUGUUUGUAUUCUGUAGUUGCUAAGAGGCGUCCCUAAAUUAUAUAAACUCACAAAACCUGGAUCCUUAUGAGACCUUAGUUCGCGUCUCUUACCAUCCCUACCUGGACCUCUGAUUGGAGCAACAGUGAGAUUGCUACCUCCAAUAAGUCCUCUCCAAUAAGAAACCACUCUAAAUUAGAUCGUGUACACCAGCAGAGAUGCUGUGACCUUGAACAUCCCCUCACGGGUUAUAUUUCUGCUCCCUGGGCCUGCACAGAAUAUGUGCUCCUUCUGAGCUUGCUUUCUAGGCCAGGCACCCAGCCUUGAGUUUUCUCCCCUCUGUUUGCCUCCCCAGGUCACUGCAGUCCCCCCUUCAGACUGGUGCCCAGGGCUGAGGGGCCUGAUUAACCAGCAUGUGGCAGGCUUGUUGUCACCACCUCCAGUAAUGCCGGGCAGAGUUUGUCCUUGAAAAAGUGUCAUCACCCUAAAAAAGCCCAGGUCAAAAGCAAUUUUCCAUAAGAAGGUGAUGAACUUCCCUGUGGCACUUCCAGGGCCAAGACUGCUUCAGCCAAUCCACUGUCCAUCAGUUGGGAGCCAGCCGAUGGCACAGACCCAAUUCUGCCUACUGGAAGGUCAGGGCUGAUGUGGGGACAUAGUCAGGUCCUAACGUGCAGGGAGGUCAGCCUGCAGAAGGAGCAGAGAGAAUGGUGCCAUCUUUUGCUUGCUUUUGGGGGGGGGCUCACAGUCUGCUGUCCACACUGCCUUCUCUGGGUUCCUUUCAUUGCAGCCUUAACAACCGGCCUAUCAGUGCCUUCCCUCAUGUUAUUGAAAGGGCACUUUGUGGAUAGGUGUUCAGAGGGAGAGGUUGCUUCCUCUGCUCUUGUCUACCCACAGUUCCCUCCAACCCCCAGUCAAAGGAGGAAUGAAGCCACACUGCCUCCUAAAAGCUGCCUGGGACUGGAAGGGGCCUUCUCGAUAUCUUCCUCCCAGGAUUUCCUGAUACACAAGGACCCUCUGCUGAUGUAACAAAAGGUACCAGAAGCCAGUUUUGUAGUAGGGAUAACUGGCCAAAUAGGCAUGACACCUGAUAAAGCUGUGAUGUAGUCAGGGUGCCAGUGCUUCCAGGCACCACUGACACACACCCCGCCCCCCUCCGUACUCCCGUACUGCAGUGGCAGCCUGUGGACUUUCUCUGGUGGUGCAGGCCAUUACAACUAAUCAAAGCGUAAAUAAAAAGGAUGUCCUAAUUGAA
Molecule: non-coding RNA, 3397 nt
Organism: Sus scrofa (pig)
Lineage: Eukaryota; Metazoa; Chordata; Mammalia; Artiodactyla; Suidae
Source: RefSeq, a predicted model, not a curated record